GACGAACGCUGGCGGCGUGCUUAACACAUGCAAGUCGAACGGAAAGGCCCUUCGGGGUACUCGAGUGGCGAACGGGUGAGUAACACGUGGGUGAUCUGCCCUGCACUUUGGGAUAAGCCUGGGAAACUGGGUCUAAUACCGAAUAGGACCACGCGCUUCAUGGUGUGUGGUGGAAAGCUUUUGCGGUGUGGGAUGGGCCCGCGGCCUAUCAGCUUGUUGGUGGGGUAAUGGCCUACCAAGGCGACGACGGGUAGCCGGCCUGAGAGGGUGACCGGGCACACUGGGACUGAGAUACGGCCCAGACUCCUACGGGAGGCAGCAGUGGGGAAUAUUGCACAAUGGGCGCAAGCCUGAUGCAGCGACGCCGCGUGAGGGAUGACGGCCUUCGGGUUGUAAACCUCUUUCACCAGGGACGAAGCGUGAGUGACGGUACCUGGAGAAGAAGCACCGGCCAACUACGUG
RNAcentral lists this ribosomal RNA (462 nucleotides) under uncultured bacterium. RNAcentral's name for it is "partial 16S ribosomal RNA". It matches the Rfam family "Bacterial small subunit ribosomal RNA", at positions 28 to 507 of the family's 1533-position model. The record is from RNAcentral.